CUACGGGUUGCAGCAGUGGGGAAUAUUGCACAAUGGGGGAAACCCUGAUGCAGCGACGCCGCGUGAGUGAAGAAGUAUUUCGGUAUGUAAAGCUCUAUCAGCAGGGAAGAAAAUGACGGUACCUGACUAAGAAGCCCCGGCUAACUACGUGCCAGCAGCCGCGGUAAUACGUAGGGGGCAAGCGUUAUCCGGAUUUACUGGGUGUAAAGGGAGCGUAGACGGUGAGACAAGUCUGAAGUGAAAUCCCGGGGCUCAACCCCGGAACUGCUUUGGAAACUGCCUGACUGGAGUGCAGGAGAGGUAAGUGGAAUUCCUAGUGUAGCGGUGAAAUGCGUAGAUAUUAGGAGGAACACCAGUGGCGAAGGCGGCUUACUGGACUGUAACUGACGUUGAGGCUCGAAAGCGUGGGGAGCAAACAGGAUUAGAUACCCGCGUAGUC
This 439-nucleotide ribosomal RNA is filed under the name uncultured bacterium. RNAcentral describes it as "partial 16S ribosomal RNA". It matches the Rfam family "Bacterial small subunit ribosomal RNA", at positions 339 to 795 of the family's 1533-position model. The record is from RNAcentral.